CUGCCCUGCAGCUCUUCAAACCUCCUCCUCAAUUAACCCAGAGGUUCCAAACACUGCCUACAUUAACCCAAACACUGCCUAAAUUAACCCAAAGGUUCCAAACACUGCCUACAUUAACCCAAACACUGCCUACAUUAACCCAAAGGUUCCAAACACUGCCUAAAUUAACCCAAACACUGCCUAAAUUAACCCAGAGGUUCCAAACACUGCCUACAUUAACCCAAACACUGCCUAAAUUAACCCAAA
This is a long non-coding RNA of Serinus canaria (Common canary), 246 nucleotides long. RefSeq lists it as uncharacterized. The record is from RefSeq and is a predicted model, not a curated record. NCBI's taxonomy places the organism in Eukaryota, Metazoa, Chordata, Aves, Passeriformes, Fringillidae. The transcript is spliced from 3 exons.